GAUGAAGCUGUUAAGUCCCUGACAAGUGUACCAGAUCAUUAUCAAGUAAUAUAAAAUGGGUAAGUCCAAGUAUCGUUUCCCAAAGGACUCCUAGGCCUUAAUUUUCAUGUAACCUAAUUUCGUAAGACUUGAGAAGAAAUUGAUUUGAAGUUUUUAAAUGCAAAACAAAAGUAAACAUGCAAAUGCAGUGAAUCAAUGGUUGUGGAAAAACUAUGGAUGCAUGGUGUUGUUGGGGUUUACAAUUUCAUGUUAUCCAUCCUCAUAUAUCUACUCUUCUUAUUUAAUUCACUUAUUUAUCAUAUUGUCAUGCAAACUUUCUUGGUCUACCCUUAACCCAAUCCCUUGGCGAAAAGAGCCUAUUACUAAUUACCGGCUUGC
Molecule: long non-coding RNA, 378 nt
Filed under: Vigna radiata
Lineage: Eukaryota; Viridiplantae; Streptophyta; Magnoliopsida; Fabales; Fabaceae
Description: long non-coding RNA (VRAD_LNC008770)
Source: RNAcentral